GAUGAACGCUAGCGGGAGGCUUAACACAUGCAAGUCGAGGGGCAGCAUAGGGUAGCAAUACUCUGAUGGCGACCGGCAAACGGGUGAGUAACGCGUAUGCAACCUACCCUGUACAGGGGGAUAACCCGGAGAAAUUCGGACUUAAUAUCCCGUAAUAAUAUCCGGAGGCAUCUUUGGAUAUUUAAAGUUCCGACGGUACGGGAUGGGCAUGCGUAACAUUAGCUGGUUGGUAAGGUAACGGCUUACCAAGGCUAUGAUGUUUAGGGGUCCUGAGAGGGUGGUCCCCCACACUGGUACUGAGACACGGACCAGACUCCUACGGGAGGCAGCAGUGAGGAAUAUUGGUCAAUGGGCGCAAGCCUGAACCAGCCAUCCCGCGUGCAGGAAGACGGCCCUAUGGGUUGUAAACUGCUUUUCCAGGGAGAGAAACUUACGCACGUGUUGCGUGACUGACGGUACCCUGGGAAUAAGCAUCGGCUAACUCCGUG
RNAcentral lists this ribosomal RNA (488 nucleotides) under uncultured bacterium. RNAcentral describes it as "bacterial SSU rRNA". It matches the Rfam family "Bacterial small subunit ribosomal RNA", at positions 28 to 507 of the family's 1533-position model. The record is from RNAcentral.